Chrysemys picta bellii (western painted turtle) is the source of this 639-nucleotide non-coding RNA. The record is from RefSeq and is a predicted model, not a curated record. NCBI's taxonomy places the organism in Eukaryota, Metazoa, Chordata, Testudines, Emydidae.
GGCAGCCGCCUCGCCGCUGCCCGCUCAUCUUGGAGGCGCAGAAGACACAGCGCCGGCCGGGGAGCGAGCGGCGACGAGCGGGGAGGCAGGGCAGAGCCGCGCCGCCUCCCGCCCCGCCUCCCCGGCUCCGCUCCCCGCAGCAGGUCACAACCACAAGUGGGAUCACUCCAUCAGUGGAUUGGAUCUGGACAAUCCUGAAUGUGUGGAGGAUGGCAUUUUACAAUCUUGCAUGUCAGAGUACACCACUUACCAACAGAUUGGCACCUCCUCCUGGUUCUCUGGGGAUUAGCUCAAGACCAAAACCCUGCCCCAUCUGCGGUUUGCACACUGUUACACCAUCUGCCUGCAGCUCCUCCUGCAGCCUCAGGAACUGCAGCAUCCAACUCGCCUGAUUUGCAGAGUCGAAGGAAUCCUGGAUCACCCACUGAAGUACUUUGGGAGUUGUGAGUGCUCAGCACCAGCACAAAUGAUAUUCUACACAAGACUCCUGGGAGCUGGGAGGUACCGGCCGCUGCGAUUGGCUACCUUCCUCCUGGCUUGAGAAGAGCUCCUGGCUGCAUGGCUCCAGGGAUUCCGGGGUGUCUCCAUCCGGCCCACCACCUUCACUCCCGUUUUCCUCCUCCUCCUCUUCCUCCUCUC